UACUGGUUAGAUUAAAGUAUACGAUCUAUAUAAAAUACUUUAUAGCUAAUUUUUAAUAUUAUUUAUCUACCAUUCAUGUUUUUAAGUGUAAUCUGUGAAGAGAAUCAGUAUAUAGAUGUAACAUUUUUUCUUACUGAUAUAGAUAUGGUAAUAAUACAGUGAUAAGAGCUUCUUAUGGAGUUAAGAAAGGAGAAUACACCAAGAAAAAUGGAAAGAAAUGAGGUUUUCUUUUUGAAAGAUGUGUACUUGCGUAGAAUUUCUUAAGAAAACCUCACCAAUUGUAUUCUGCUUUUCAAUGAACAUGUAUGCCAAAAAAGAGUCAAGCUGGAGCAACAAGAUUGUCGCCUUCAAAUUAGUCCUGCAAAUACCUCUUCAGAAAAUUAUACUCUCGAUCAUUUAAAUCCAUGGACUCUAUGCUGAACCUCCCGAACCUGCUUUUCCUAAUGGUUGUUCUACACUGCUAGAAAUGUAUUAUUGUUAUGAAGAGAUGCAGUGUACAACGUUUUCUAUUGAUGUAUUCACUUUCGUUUUUAUUAUAAAAUAUGGAGACAAUAGUAUCAUACAUUUAAAAACAAAAAUUUGGAAACAUACAAGAAAUAUGUGCAAGGUACUGGAAAUAUGAACGUCCGGUAGACAUCAGAAAGAAAAUUCUAUAGAAGAAUCAACGAACAAUCGCAGGACUUUAUGCUGUAUAUGUCUAACAAUAAAUUUAUAAUUAAAUGUGUUAAUUGUAU
This is a long non-coding RNA of Sitophilus oryzae (rice weevil), 734 nucleotides long. RefSeq lists it as uncharacterized. The record is from RefSeq and is a predicted model, not a curated record. The transcript is spliced from 3 exons. Lineage: Eukaryota; Metazoa; Arthropoda; Insecta; Coleoptera; Curculionidae.